CCUACGGGAGGCUGCAGUGGGGGAUAUUGCACAAUGGGGGGAACCCUGAUGCAGCGACGCCGCGUGGGUGAAGGAGCGUUUCGGCGCGUAAAGCCCUAUCGGCAGGGAAGAAGGAGGACGGUACCUGAAUAAGAAGCCCCGGCUAACUACGUGCCAGCAGCCGCGGUAAUACGUAGGGGGCAAGCGUUAGCCGGAUUUACUGGGUGUAAAGGGGGCGCAGACGGCAGCGCAAGCCAGGAGUGAAAGCCCGGGGCCCAACCCUGGGACUGCUCUUGGAACUGCGCGGCUGGAGUGCAGGAGGGGCAGGAGGAAUGCCUGGUGUAGCGGUGAAAUGCGUAGAUAGCAGGAGGAACACCGGUGGCGAAGGCGGCCUGCUGGACUGCGACUGACGUUGAGGCCCGAAAGCGUGGGGAGCAAACAGGAUUAGAUACCCUUGUAGUC
RNAcentral lists this ribosomal RNA (441 nucleotides) under uncultured bacterium. RNAcentral's name for it is "partial 16S ribosomal RNA". It matches the Rfam family "Bacterial small subunit ribosomal RNA", at positions 338 to 795 of the family's 1533-position model. The record is from RNAcentral.